GUGACUAGAAGAAUCCUCUGUUAAAGCAUAAUGUUUUGCAUCUGAUGUAGCCGAACUUAGUCUAUCAAUUGAUAGUCUCAUUAAAUAAUCUGUCAAUAGUCUAAGAUAUUUGUCAUUUUGGCAUCAUACAUGAUUCUGUGAACUUGGCCCUUGUCCCAUGUAUUUAUUUCAUCUUGAUUCCACUCUAAGUAUUGGACCCCCACUUUGUAUUUUAUCUUGUUAUUUGUCGGUUAUCUUUGCAUAUCUUGCGGGGCAUAGAAUUAAACAUGUAUUCUUUCUUUAGGAACCACAUAUAGUACUGUUUGCUUGUUUUAUCAGACUUCAAAAGAAUAAACAUAUGCUCCUAUGCUUCAGAAAUGGUUGCAGAUACAUUAAACCUUCCAUUAUAUUAUAAAAACAUAUUCAUAUGCACGUGACUACAUAAUAUUAUGUAUUGUGAUAAAUAUAGAGUCCACUUGCUAAUUCUUUUCGUCUUCUUAUGUUUCAUGUACAACCGGAGAGCUGGAGUUUCUACUUUGGAACUCGUUAUUGGCCUAAAGUAUUAGGCCAACAGCAAAUUAGGAUCAUCGCAAUGCUUGGAGUCUCGCAAAUUAGGGAUCCAAUAUUUCUU
RNAcentral lists this long non-coding RNA (610 nucleotides) under Solanum tuberosum (potato). RNAcentral describes it as "long non-coding RNA (STUB_LNC010075)". The record is from RNAcentral. Lineage: Eukaryota; Viridiplantae; Streptophyta; Magnoliopsida; Solanales; Solanaceae.